CUUUAUCGGAGAGUUUGAUCCUGGCUCAGGACGAACGCUGGCGGCGUGCCUAAUACAUGCAAGUCGAGCGGACAGAUGGGAGCUUGCUCCCUGAUGUUAGCGGCGGACGGGUGAGUAACACGUGGGUAACCUGCCUGUAAGACUGGGAUAACUCCGGGAAACCGGGGCUAAUACCGGAUGUUGUUUGAACCGCAUGGUUCAGACAUAAAAGGUGGCUUCGGCUACCACUUACAGAUGGACCCGCGGCGCAUUAGCUAGUUGGUGAGGUAACGGCUCACCAAGGCGACGAUGCGUAGCCGACCUGAGAGGGUGAUCGGCCACACUGGACUGAGACACGGCCCAGACUCCUACGGGAGGCAGCAGUAGGGAAUCUUCCGCAAUGGACGAAAGUCUGACGGAGCAACGCCGCGUGAGUGAUGAAGGUUUUCGGAUCGUAAAGCUCUGUUGUUAGGGAAGAACAAGUGCCGUUCAAAUAGGGCGGCACCUUGACGGUACCUAACCAGAAAGCCACGGCUAACUACGUGCCAGCAGCCGCGGUAAUACGUAGGUGGCAAGCGUUGUCCGGAAUUAUUGGGCGUAAAGGGCUCGCAGGCGGUUUCUUAAGUCUGAUGUGAAAGCCCCCGGCUCAACCGGGGAGGGUCAUUGGAAACUGGGGAACUUGAGUGCAGAAGAGGAGAGUGGAAUUCCACGUGUAGCGGUGAAAUGCGUAGAGAUGUGGAGGAACACCAGUGGCGAAGGCGACUCUCUGGUCUGUAACUGACGCUGAGGAGCGAAAGCGUGGGGAGCGAACAGGAUUAGAUACCCUGGUAGUCCACGCCGUAAACGAUGAGUGCUAAGUGUUAGGGGGUUUCCGCCCCUUAGUGCUGCAGCUAACGCAUUAAGCACUCCGCCUGGGGAGUACGGUCGCAAGACUGAAACUCAAAGGAAUUGACGGGGGCCCGCACAAGCGGUGGAGCAUGUGGUUUAAUUCGAAGCAACGCGAAGAACCUUACCAGGUCUUGACAUCCUCUGACAAUCCUAGAGAUAGGACGUCCCCUUCGGGGGCAGAGUGACAGGUGGUGCAUGGUUGUCGUCAGCUCGUGUCGUGAGAUGUUGGGUUAAGUCCCGCAACGAGCGCAACCCUUGAUCUUAGUUGCCAGCAUUCAGUUGGGCACUCUAAGGUGACUGCCGGUGACAAACCGGAGGAAGGUGGGGAUGACGUCAAAUCAUCAUGCCCCUUAUGACCUGGGCUACACACGUGCUACAAUGGACAGAACAAAGGGCAGCGAAACCGCGAGGUUAAGCCAAUCCCACAAAUCUGUUCUCAGUUCGGAUCGCAGUCUGCAACUCGACUGCGUGAAGCUGGAAUCGCUAGUAAUCGCGGAUCAGCAUGCCGCGGUGAAUACGUUCCCGGGCCUUGUACACACCGCCCGUCACACCACGAGAGUUUGUAACACCCGAAGUCGGUGAGGUAACCUUUUAGGAGCCAGCCGCCGAAGGUGGGACAGAUGAUUGGGGUGAAGUCGUAACAAGGUAGCCGUAUCGGAAGGUGCGGCUGGAUCACCUCCUUUCU
This 1552-nucleotide ribosomal RNA is filed under the name Bacillus amyloliquefaciens. RNAcentral describes it as "bacterial SSU rRNA". It matches the Rfam family "Bacterial small subunit ribosomal RNA". Lineage: Bacteria; Bacillati; Bacillota; Bacilli; Caryophanales; Bacillaceae. The record is from RNAcentral.